Molecule: long non-coding RNA, 541 nt
Organism: Carassius gibelio (silver crucian carp)
Lineage: Eukaryota; Metazoa; Chordata; Actinopteri; Cypriniformes; Cyprinidae
Exons: 3
Source: RefSeq, a predicted model, not a curated record
GAAAAACCAAGGAAAUGAUUUGCUCAGGAUGAGAAAUGAAGACGGCCAUCUUGAGCCCAAACAAACAGAAGUCCUCUGAUGAUCUCAUCAGCCAAAUGAGGGGUUUUGACCAAGUGAUGCUCUUGAAAGGAGUGAAAGGAUGUGGUAAAUUGUCUUCAGAGAAAAAGCUUCUCAAAAGGUCUCAAAACAGCUUGAAGAAUGGUCUGGCAUCUUAGGACUGAGAGAUCCUCUGGCUGAGAAACAAAACUGCUUUCCAGACACGAGAGAAGAAGAUCAUAAUGGGCAGAUGAAACCAGUUUAGAUGUGAUGAUGGGAAUCAUUCUUUUCUGGAAUAGUAUCAAAUGUCUUAUAUGUAUCACAUGAUCUGUAUCACAGUUGACUGAAUGGGACUGUGUGACUUUUAAAGACAUUUCAUCACUCAUCUGUCUGAACUGAUUUAUAUAUGAGGUUAAGAGGUUUUGAUGAUAAUUAUUUUCAUUGAAUCUUAUUUGUCUUGAUGCUACUUUAUCAACUUUAUAGUCUAUGCUUCAAUAAAAUGAAA